GUCUCCCUGUAGCUCAGUGGUUAGAGCAUCCGACCGGUAUGCGGAAGGGCAUGGGUUUGAUUCGGGUCGGGAACU
Molecule: transfer RNA, 75 nt
Filed under: Desmophyllum pertusum
Lineage: Eukaryota; Metazoa; Cnidaria; Anthozoa; Scleractinia; Caryophylliidae
Description: tRNA-Thr
Source: RNAcentral